AUGAUAAUGGCUGUCCUUUCCGCCUCCCGGCUUGGGGGGGGGGGCGGCGAUCCCCCCAAGGCCGCGUCAAGGGACUCGCGGGAGCGACGAGGGUCCAACAGAAGAGCAGCGUGUCCGAGAACGAAGAACAGGAAGAAGAGAAGAGAAAGCGGAUCUUGUUCGUCGGUUCUUAUGGCUUGGGAUGGUUCACGCCUCUUUUCAUGUGAAAGACCAAUGAAUGUCCGCGAUCUGAAGCGGAGGGAAAGUUCCUUUGUGCAGUGAUAUUCUAGCAAGUUCUUAAUUCAAGAUUAAUACAUUUUUCCUUACUUUGCUUUAGAUAAAUGGGUCUGUCAAAGCAUGACGAUUACACAGAUACCAAAAAUAAUAUAUAUAUAUAAAUGAUCAAAACAUGAAAAUACAUUCAAAUGCAGAAUUACCCACAUUUAAAGAUUUGAUCAACACAUGAUAAAACUUCAGAUAGUCCCAAUUUAUAUGGGAAACCUCUAAUGUACCGAAAAAACAAUACUAUAUACAUUUAGACUACAUUUGAGUACAAAUGACUUACAAAAGUAAGGAACUUUAAGAAAGGUUUCUUUUUGUGUGUGUGUGUGUGUGUGUGUGUGUGUGUGUGUGUGUGUUAAGGAAUUUGUGGGGGUUUCAGGUCUCCUUUGAGGCUCGCAUGGGUAUCGUAAAAUAAUUUAAGUCCAGCCAGGCUGGCGCCAGGCCAGGCAUUUAGUGCAAAAAGGGUUUCAUUUGUAUGCCUGAAUUUAACCCAUGAAUCGAUGACCUGCAUAUCUGUUACAGCAAUUAUAAUUGUCAUUAAAUAUACUUGACGAAAGUGGUCCUGAUUGAAAUCAAAGAAUCAUCAUCACCAACCGCAAACAAACCACUAUUUGCACACCUUUAUAUGUAAAUUCAACCAUAUUGUCAGCAGUUUUCAAAAAUAUAUAUUCUACCCUUAUUCUUGAUUCAACCAAUGCUUUGAACAUUUAAAAACAUUAACUAUUCGUCCUUCAAUAGCAGGCCUACAAGUUUUCCAAAUAGCCAAUUUUGCUUGACCAACCCUAUCAAGAUCCCUUCCAACAAUGCAGAGAUUGGCUCUAACCGUGGACAUUCAUUAAAAACGUGGAACACAGUAUCGUGCCCAUUACAAAAAUGACAAAAAGGCAAUACAUUUUAAUUGAAUUUUGAAACAAAAACAUUAGUGGCUAACACACAAUGCAGUAUUCUCCACUGUAAAUCACUUGAACGUUUUGGAAGGGGACUUUUAUAAAAAAGCCUCCAGGAGGGAGAAAUAUUAUCAACAGCUGACAGUUUUUUUCUCCAUUUAGUAUCCUGUCUGUUAUGCAAAUCAUUAAUGUAUGCUGUUUUCACACAGACUUGGUAAAUGC
This 1370-nucleotide long non-coding RNA is filed under the name Carassius auratus (goldfish). Its description in RNAcentral is "lncRNA (ENSCARG00000023350.1)". The record is from RNAcentral. Lineage: Eukaryota; Metazoa; Chordata; Actinopteri; Cypriniformes; Cyprinidae.